CGGAUUAGAUACCCUGGUAGUCCACGCCGUAAACGAUGGAUGCUAGCCGUUGGCAGGCUUGCCUGUCAGUGGCGCAGCUAACGCAUUAAGCAUCCCGCCUGGGGAGUACGGUCGCAAGAUUAAAACUCAAAGGAAUUGACGGGGGCCCGCACAAGCGGUGGAGCAUGUGGUUCAAUUCGAAGCAACGCGAAGAACCUUACCAACCUUUGACAUGUCCCGUAUGAGCACCAGAGAUGGAGCUCUUCAGUUCGGCUGGCGGGAACACAGGUGCUGCAUGGCUGUCGUCAGCUCGUGUCGUGAGAUGUUGGGUUAAGUCCCGCAACGAGCGCAACCCUCGCCCUUAGUUGCCAUCAUUCAGUUGGGCACUCUAAGGGGACUGCCGGUGAUAAGCCGCGAGGAAGGUGGGGAUGACGUCAAGUCCUCAUGGCCCUUACAGGUUGGGCUACACACGUGCUACAAUGGCGGUGACAAUGGGAUGCAAUGGCGCAAGCCUGCGCAAAUCUCAAAAAACCGUCUCAGUUCGGAUUGGGCUCUGCAACUCGAGCCCAUGAAGUUGGAAUCGCUAGCAAUCGCAGAUCAGCACGCUGCGGUGAAUACGUUCCCGGGCCUUGUACACACCGCCCGUCACACCAUGGGAGUUGGUUUUACCUGAAGACGGUGCGCUAACCGCAAGGAGGCAGCCGGCCACGGUAGGGUCAGCGACUGGGGUGAAGUCGUAACAAG
This 723-nucleotide ribosomal RNA is filed under the name uncultured bacterium. RNAcentral describes it as "bacterial SSU rRNA". It matches the Rfam family "Bacterial small subunit ribosomal RNA", at positions 774 to 1495 of the family's 1533-position model. The record is from RNAcentral.